ACGCUACAGUGCUACUGGCCCAUAAUCAGGCAACUGCAGAGUCUUAGGGGGUUAUCUAAUGUAGUCUUGGGGUGGCUGGAUAGACUUCCCAAAGAAGGUGAUGCCGAAGCUGAGGUCGGAAAUUACGAAGAUCAGCUAUCAAACUUGGAAAUCAUGUCUUAGAGAUCAAGGAGCCAAGAGAUGAGACAAGCCUGGGUUCCUAGGUGAUAGGGUGUGGCUGUGUCCCCACCCAAAUCUCGUCUUGAAUUGUAGCUCCCAUAAUCCCCACAUGUUGUGGAGGGACCCUGUGGAAGGUAAUUGAAUUAUGGAGAUUGUGCCUGCAGCCUGGCCUGUUGCCCACAGCGGUCUACCUGCCACACUGGGAAAGAUCGAGCAGAGACAGAGAAGAAAAGGAGGCUCCAUUUUUCAGGCUGCUCUCCCGCAGGCUCAUGUUUUGUGUUCAUGCCAGGCAGAGAACACAAAAUGUUCCAAUAAAUAAGUAUCAAAGGUUAGUGGUGAAAAUGAAGGAGGAGGAGGCAUUGCGUGAAAAACUAAACAUGCAAAAUAUUACACACAAAGAGAACCAAAAUGCAGGUUCACUGGAAAUGAUAGACAAUAUGUUAAAACAAGAGGAGAGAAGAGAGCUGAAAUAAUCAAAUGGAAACACACAAUUUAGGGCUAAGAUCUUGUUGUGUUCAGCCACAAAUGAUGGCCAGCAGUGAGGAAUCUGUGUGUUCUCCACACUCUUCGCUCCUGGGAAGUCAACUCACAUGGACCAUGAUAUCAAUAUCUGCUCCUUCCCCUAAUAUCUGUUUGACCUUGGGUCAGUUACUUAAACUUCCUAAGCCUUAGUUUCUUUGUCUGGAAAAUAGGGAUAGUUAUACCUACCACACAACCACUUUGUAAUGAAUAUGUUGGAAAUUAUAUGCAAAUUGGCUUCCGUUGGUGUUUGGAACAUAGUAGGUUUUUAACUGGAAUAUAAUAGCUACCAUUAUCAGUAUCAUCAUAUUAAUUUAUAUUUCCAUCUUCAGCCCUUAACCCAGGAUCUUCAGUAAAUGUUGAAUUCUCAAAUUUGUUAAAUUCACUUGUCUAUACUAAUAUUUUACUCUAGGUUUCUUAGAAUAUUCUAGAUAAUAUUAUUAUGUAGAAUAUGUUAUGUAAGCUUCAUCUUAUCUGUAAAUAUAGUUUUACUUUUUCCUUUCUAAUUUUUAUGUCGAUUACUUCUUUUUCUUGGCUUAUUGAAUUGGCUAGGAUUCCCGUACAGUGUUGAAUACGUGCAGCAAGACUGCACAUCUUGCCUUGUUCCUGGUCCCACAGAGAGAAUAUCCAGUACUUCACAAUAAGUAUGUGUUAAUUGUAGAUUUUAUUAGAUUGAGGAAGUUCCCUUUCCUUUCAAGUCAGUCUUUUUAUUUUAAACAUGUAUUGAAGUUUUGUCAAAUGUCUUCAUCUAUUGGAAUAAUUAUACAUAUCUCUUUUUUAUUCUGUUAAUAUUACAUUUCAAUCUUCUGUCUACCUAAAAUCCCUAGAAUAAUCUCCAUUUGGCUAUGAUGUGUUGUGCUUUUAUAUAUUACUGAAUUCUAUAUGCCAAUAUUAUUAAAAUUUUCUGUCUUUAUGAGAAA
Homo sapiens (human) is the source of this 1598-nucleotide long non-coding RNA. Ensembl annotates it as CCDC26 long non-coding RNA. Its record names the gene CCDC26. Lineage: Eukaryota; Metazoa; Chordata; Mammalia; Primates; Hominidae. The record is from Ensembl.